AUUAGGGUGAACCCGUCUCUGUGGCAAAAGAGUGGGAAGACCUUGCAGUAGGGGUGAAAAGCCAAACGAGCCUGGUGAUAGCUGGUUGCUCAACAAACGAAUUUAAGUUCGACUUUAGGUUACACUAGCUAAACUUAAAACCCCAUAUAACCUAAAAGCUACUCAAUGAGGGUACAGCUUCAUUGAGUUGGGAUACAACCCAAACUAGAGAGAAAGAAGCAUUAAUUUACCAGUAGGCCUUAAAGCCGCCACCAAUAACAAAAGCGUCACAGCACAAAAACAACAGAUAUCACAAGCACACCCAACCUCCUAGAAAAUUAUUGAGCCAAACUAUAAUUAUAAAUGAACUAAUGCUAAAACUAGUAACAAGAAAAAUUCUCUACGCACCCCUGUAACCCAGAAAUAGAAAAACUACUGGACUUUAACAGACCAAAACAGGCACACACAACCAGUGUACUACCAACUGUUGAACCAACACCGGAGUGCCAUCAAGACAGAUUAAAAGUUAUUUAAGGAACUCAGCAAAACUUGUCCCAACUGUUUACCAAAAACAUAGCCUUUAGCCAACACAAGUAUUAAAGGUCCCGCCUGCCCAGUG
RNAcentral lists this ribosomal RNA (598 nucleotides) under Trachylepis sechellensis. Its description in RNAcentral is "partial 16S ribosomal RNA". It matches the Rfam family "Bacterial large subunit ribosomal RNA", at positions 768 to 1868 of the family's 2925-position model. The record is from RNAcentral. Lineage: Eukaryota; Metazoa; Chordata; Lepidosauria; Squamata; Scincidae.